This 404-nucleotide ribosomal RNA is filed under the name uncultured bacterium. RNAcentral describes it as "partial 16S ribosomal RNA". It matches the Rfam family "Bacterial small subunit ribosomal RNA", at positions 28 to 525 of the family's 1533-position model. The record is from RNAcentral.
GAUGAACGCUGGCGGCGUGCCUAAUACAUGCAAGUCGAGCGAAGCGGGGACGGGUGAGUAACACGUGGAUAACCUCCUAUAAGACUGGGAUAACUUCGGGAAACCGGAGCUAAACCGGAUCCUUAUAAAUGGAUCCGCGAUGCAUUGGCUAGUUGGUAAGGUAACGGCUUACCAAGGCAACGAUGCAUAGCCGACCUGAGAGGCGGAUCGGCCAUGCGGGAACUGAGACACGGUCCAGACUCCUACGGGAGGCAUCAGUAGGAAGUUUUCCGCAAUGGGCGAAAGCCGGACGGAGCAACGCCGCGUGAGUGAUGAAGGUCUUCGGUUCGUAAAUCUCUGUUAUUAGGGAAGCGGUACCGAAUCAGAAAGCCACGGCUAACUACGUGCAAGCAGCCGCGGUAAUC